CGAACGCUGGCGGCAGGCCUAAUACAUGCAAGUCGAACGGCUCUUCGGAGCAGUGGCGGACGGGUGAGUAACGCGUGGGAAUGUGCCCUUUGGUACGGAACAACACAGGGAAACUUGUGCUAAUACCGUAUGUGCCCUUCGGGGGAAAGAUUUAUCGCCAUUGGAGCAGCCCGCGUUGGACUAGGUAGUUGGUGAGGUAAAGGCUCACCAAGCCUACGAUCCAUAGCUGGUCUGACAGGAUGAUCAGCCACACUGGGACUGAGACACGGCCCAGACUCCGGCGGGAGGCAGCAGUAUGGAAUCUGGCGCAAUGGGCGGAAGCCUGACGCAGCCAUGGCGCGUGAAUGAUGGAGGUCUUAGUAUUGUAAUAUUCUUUCACCGGGGAAGAUAAUGACGGUACCCGGAGAAGAAGCCCCGGCUAACUUCGUGCCAGCCGCCGCCGUAA
RNAcentral lists this ribosomal RNA (445 nucleotides) under uncultured bacterium. RNAcentral describes it as "partial 16S ribosomal RNA". It matches the Rfam family "Bacterial small subunit ribosomal RNA", at positions 30 to 523 of the family's 1533-position model. The record is from RNAcentral.